GUGAUCUUCACUGUAACAGCUGCAGCAUCACAACACAGAGAGGUUUUUGUACCAGCAGUAAUAGUGAUUGUAUCACUGUGGUGGACUUUUGGUAGUGGCACCAGACUUGAUGUUGGAAGUAACAGUGCCCCCACCCUCACCAUCCUGCCCCCCUCUAGUGAGGAGCUGUCCAGUACAACAACAGCCACACUGACAUGUCUGGCCAACAAGGGCUUCCCCUCAGACUGGACCAUGAGCUGGAAAGUGGACGGGACCAACAAGAUCCAGGAGAUCAGUUCUAGGGUCCUGGAGAAGGAUGGCCUGUACAGCUGGAGCAGCACCCUGACUCUCACUGCCCAGGAGUGGACCAAGGCAGGAGAGGUGACCUGUGAAGCCCAGCAGAAAUCCCAGAAUCCAGUGACCAAGACCCUGAGGAAGGCUGACUGUUCUGGAUAGGACUACUCAGUCACACCCCUGUGGAGAGAGCCUGCUGGUUCCUCUGCUUUGACUCUGUUCUGAGAUCAGAUGUUCUGUCUUAUUGAUCUCUGACAUGUAGACUAACAGAGGGCUUUGGUUGAGUUCAUGUGUUAAUCCUCUCUGUAUCAGUGUUAGAUGUGAUGUGUUCUGUUUUAUUACAAUUAGAUACUGUAGGAAUGUUUGCUUUGAUGCUUUAAUGAAUAGAUGAAAUAAAGAUGUUCCUUUGGACAAAUA
Non-coding RNA from Oncorhynchus kisutch (coho salmon), 690 nucleotides. The record is from the annotation of a RefSeq genome assembly. Lineage: Eukaryota; Metazoa; Chordata; Actinopteri; Salmoniformes; Salmonidae.